CACAGGAAUUCGGGUCGGUUGGGCUAAGAGCAGUAAGGGAAAAAAACCCACAACCCAAAAAUAAUAAUAAAAAGAGAGUUGAUGUUUUCAUCAGGGAAGUAGGAAGUCUUCUGGAGCCCACACUCCUGUUACUGGGUCCCACACCUGAGCCAUAAGGACAAGAAAGGAGGAAAAUCUAUUUCCACACCAGAGACACUUCCUGAUCAACCCAGGAACAGUUGGAUAUCCCUUGUCCAUCAUCUUAGGAAAAAAGAAAGCUGUGUUAGAAUCAAAGGUUCUCACAAAAAAGGAGAGACUGCAAAGGAAGGAGACACUGCCUGCAAAGCUGUGAUCCUUUCCUUAGUCACAUUCUAAAAUCCAAGAUUUAUUAUUGCUGGACCUGUCUCAUUUCCCUGACACAAGGUCUUAGUCACAGAGUGCUGUAGAGCCCAUUCCCAUUGUUCCUGAGCUCUGGACUGCUAUAAAAGGCGGCCAAGGGCACUCAGUGUCACUGCACUGGAACAUCACCACGGGGCUGGCAGGAGACUCUGCAGGUCAGGACUUCACUGGGAUCCAAACAACACCAUCAGUGAAAGAAAGAGCAGAGGAAAAGAUUUCUGAUCACACCGUCAGCUUCUGGUCCUGUGGAGCUGAUUUAAAGAAGAGAGA
Long non-coding RNA from Corvus hawaiiensis (hawaiian crow), 648 nucleotides. RefSeq lists it as uncharacterized. The record is from RefSeq and is a predicted model, not a curated record. NCBI's taxonomy places the organism in Eukaryota, Metazoa, Chordata, Aves, Passeriformes, Corvidae. The transcript has 3 exons.